RNAcentral lists this ribosomal RNA (1528 nucleotides) under Escherichia coli 6-319-05_S1_C1. RNAcentral describes it as "bacterial SSU rRNA". It matches the Rfam family "Bacterial small subunit ribosomal RNA". Lineage: Bacteria; Pseudomonadati; Pseudomonadota; Gammaproteobacteria; Enterobacterales; Enterobacteriaceae. The record is from RNAcentral.
GAGUUUGAUCAUGGCUCAGAUUGAACGCUGGCGGCAGGCCUAACACAUGCAAGUCGAACGGUAACAGGAAGCAGCUUGCUGCUUUGCUGACGAGUGGCGGACGGGUGAGUAAUGUCUGGGAAACUGCCUGAUGGAGGGGGAUAACUACUGGAAACGGUAGCUAAUACCGCAUAACGUCGCAAGACCAAAGAGGGGGACCUUCGGGCCUCUUGCCAUCGGAUGUGCCCAGAUGGGAUUAGCUUGUUGGUGGGGUAACGGCUCACCAAGGCGACGAUCCCUAGCUGGUCUGAGAGGAUGACCAGCCACACUGGAACUGAGACACGGUCCAGACUCCUACGGGAGGCAGCAGUGGGGAAUAUUGCACAAUGGGCGCAAGCCUGAUGCAGCCAUGCCGCGUGUAUGAAGAAGGCCUUCGGGUUGUAAAGUACUUUCAGCGGGGAGGAAGGGAGUAAAGUUAAUACCUUUGCUCAUUGACGUUACCCGCAGAAGAAGCACCGGCUAACUCCGUGCCAGCAGCCGCGGUAAUACGGAGGGUGCAAGCGUUAAUCGGAAUUACUGGGCGUAAAGCGCACGCAGGCGGUUUGUUAAGUCAGAUGUGAAAUCCCCGGGCUCAACCUGGGAACUGCAUCUGAUACUGGCAAGCUUGAGUCUCGUAGAGGGGGGUAGAAUUCCAGGUGUAGCGGUGAAAUGCGUAGAGAUCUGGAGGAAUACCGGUGGCGAAGGCGGCCCCCUGGACGAAGACUGACGCUCAGGUGCGAAAGCGUGGGGAGCAAACAGGAUUAGAUACCCUGGUAGUCCACGCCGUAAACGAUGUCGACUUGGAGGUUGUGCCCUUGAGGCGUGGCUUCCGGAGCUAACGCGUUAAGUCGACCGCCUGGGGAGUACGGCCGCAAGGUUAAAACUCAAAUGAAUUGACGGGGGCCCGCACAAGCGGUGGAGCAUGUGGUUUAAUUCGAUGCAACGCGAAGAACCUUACCUGGUCUUGACAUCCACGGAAGUUUUCAGAGAUGAGAAUGUGCCUUCGGGAACCGUGAGACAGGUGCUGCAUGGCUGUCGUCAGCUCGUGUUGUGAAAUGUUGGGUUAAGUCCCGCAACGAGCGCAACCCUUAUCCUUUGUUGCCAGCGGUCCGGCCGGGAACUCAAAGGAGACUGCCAGUGAUAAACUGGAGGAAGGUGGGGAUGACGUCAAGUCAUCAUGGCCCUUACGACCAGGGCUACACACGUGCUACAAUGGCGCAUACAAAGAGAAGCGACCUCGCGAGAGCAAGCGGACCUCAUAAAGUGCGUCGUAGUCCGGAUUGGAGUCUGCAACUCGACUCCAUGAAGUCGGAAUCGCUAGUAAUCGUGGAUCAGAAUGCCACGGUGAAUACGUUCCCGGGCCUUGUACACACCGCCCGUCACACCAUGGGAGUGGGUUGCAAAAGAAGUAGGUAGCUUAACCUUCGGGAGGGCGCUUACCACUUUGUGAUUCAUGACUGGGGUGAAGUCGUAACAAGGUAACCGUAGGGGAACCUGCGGUUGGAUCACC